CAAUAUCUGAGAUACUCGUGGUACUUUUAUUUUGAACCUACAUUACGCCUACGGGAGCCCGACAUUUUGGGAUGUAUAUCAAGCCCAUACCAAGCUUGGAUUGGCAAGGGAAGAUAGAGAUACCUUUGGGGGCACCCACCUAUCGAGAGAUAGGUGUCAAAAUAGAAGUUACGGUAUCUUGGAUUAUUU
This 189-nucleotide non-coding RNA is filed under the name Clostridiales bacterium. RNAcentral describes it as "6S RNA". It matches the Rfam family "6S / SsrS RNA". Rfam says of the family: E. coli 6S RNA was the first non coding RNA to be sequenced, but its function was unknown until recently. It consists of 184 nucleotides that fold into an extended hairpin structure with a large single-stranded internal bulge. Lineage: Bacteria; Bacillati; Bacillota; Clostridia; Eubacteriales. The record is from RNAcentral.